AGAAAAUGGCCAAACAAAGGAACUAGAGAAGUAAGCCAAAGAAUCUGGAAAGUUCUCAACAGAUAAAUCUCACAGAAGGAAUUUCAAGAAUGAGAUUAAUCCAUGAACAAUGACAAAAAAGCAACCAACAAAAAACACAAGAGUGGCAGGAGAUGCAGGAAAUCAUUUCAUCUCUUCCAAGGAAUAUCUGGUUUAGAGCUGCCUUGUUCUUUAUAAUCACACUCCUCUGUGUUCCAAGAAAUGGCUGAACGCAAAGGAUGACCCUGGCCUCACAUAUUCCAAGAUAAAAUCCACCUUCACCUUCUUCCAGGACUCAGAUGAGCCCCACCACCACCCAGGUUUUCUCCCUCUAUUUGAGAUCUUCCUCGUUAAUAUGUUCCUCUUAUUGAAAUAGCCUGAAUAAAAAUCAUCUCCUUA
Molecule: long non-coding RNA, 417 nt
Filed under: Homo sapiens (human)
Lineage: Eukaryota; Metazoa; Chordata; Mammalia; Primates; Hominidae
Description: HSALNT0323886
Source: RNAcentral